Molecule: long non-coding RNA, 961 nt
Organism: Pongo pygmaeus (Bornean orangutan)
Lineage: Eukaryota; Metazoa; Chordata; Mammalia; Primates; Hominidae
Exons: 3
Source: RefSeq, a predicted model, not a curated record
GUGGUGUGGUGGCCAGUUAGGCCACUGGAAGCUUGGCAAAAUAUUGAAAAUGAGGGAUUAGGUGACAGGGUAGUAACUGCUGGAUACUAAAUACUUGAUCCAGGCCCCAUUCCCUGGAGAUUGACAGGGAGACACAUUGUCCAGGUGGUAGUGGAGAAAUACUUUCUGGGUAUCUGACCAGCCUUUGUAGAAAGAACUGGCACCGUCCUGCAGAUGUAACUGCCUGAUGGGCUCUUCCUGCCCAAUGUACACACAAAAUCAAUUCAAGGAGACCAUGGCACUGCAGGAAACAGUUUCAUUGACACAGGCCAGCCACGACAUGUGGGAGACAGAGUUAUUACUCAAACCAAUCUCACUGAAGGCUUGGAGGGCCCGCCCGGCAGGACCACUGAGCAAGGCCUUGGAAAACCAGAGAGAUUAGAGCGGUGAGUCGCGCCGGUCACGUUGGACACCUGCGCGUUAGGAGAUUCUGGAGCCAGAAGAACAGCCGAAUUGCCUUCGCCCGCCCUGCCCCUCCCCUGCUUCAGAAGCUUCCAGAAACCCCCUGGUCGGCGACCCAGCCAGAGCCGCCUGGGGGCCCAAGGGAAGCUGAACGCCCUGUGGCCUCCGGGGAAGGUUCCUCCCGUUCUUUGUGCCGCCUUCACCCAUUGAAGGAGCCUGUGCCCACCCUGCCCAGUCGCUGUGGGGGCCGCUGAGGAGCUUCCGCUGCCACUUUCAGAAUGGGGAAAUGGAGAGAGAACCUGAAAGAGCCCCAAAUUCGGGGACCUAUUGCUCCCCAAGAAUAACAUCUUCCAGAAGAACCAGACAGAAAACUAGGCGUCUGGGAACACUGAAAUCCUUGCAGGAGUAGCAUCAUCAUGACCCUCUCUGUUCCUUUUGGCAAAGGACUUGCCUCCAUUGUUUGUUUGUUUGUUCAAUUGUCUUGUCUGUUAAAUAAAGAAAACCCUUUUCAUAUACCUUC